UCGCUAUGGCAGCACAUAUACUAAAAUUGGAAUGAUAGAGAAAAUUAGCAUGGUCUCCGCACAAGGAUGACACAUAAAUUCACGAAGCAUUUCAUAUUUUU
This is a small nuclear RNA of Ochotona princeps (American pika), 101 nucleotides long. NCBI's taxonomy places the organism in Eukaryota, Metazoa, Chordata, Mammalia, Lagomorpha, Ochotonidae. The record is from Ensembl.